RNAcentral lists this long non-coding RNA (1415 nucleotides) under Lathyrus oleraceus (garden pea). RNAcentral's name for it is "Pisum sativum (pea) long non-coding RNA (PSAT_LNC010452)". The record is from RNAcentral. Lineage: Eukaryota; Viridiplantae; Streptophyta; Magnoliopsida; Fabales; Fabaceae.
GCGAACUCCCUUCUCUCUUCCCUCACAAUCACUGCAAAUCCCUAUACCUACCUACCACACGUCUCCACUCUCUAAAAAUCCUCACAAAUCUCUCUUCUCUCUCACUUCUCUUAAAAAGAAAACAGAAAGAGAAAAGUUGUGGAGAUUUUCCUGACCGCCGCCGCACACCACCAUAAACCCUUCUUCCACCACCGUUCACCUUCAACCUUCACAACACAAACCACCAUUCAAACCCUAACCACACCGCCACCUUCUCCGUUUCACUCUCAGUCACACGACCCAUCCAAAUGCCAUCCUCACCGGUAAACCGUUGCCGUGUCUCCACACGCGAAACCACCGCGACGUCUAAACCCAACCACCGCCGACGCCCACACCAUCGUCGCGCUUCUCCGAUUCACCGACCGCGCAUCACCUUCGCAUCUACCACCACGCCUCCGUCGCCGACACACAAUAGGAGCAUCCGGCCUACACCCGAACCGCCGUCGACUUCCGAGCCUCAAUCGAACAACCUUCCAAAUAACUCCUCAUUGCUAGUGCAAAAAUGCUUGCGGCUGACUCUUUUUCACCAUCGUCAAAAGCUUGGACCAUCAUGUCAUCUCUCUUUCGUUCGGUAGAUUUCUAUUUUACUUUUGAUUGCUUUGAUUCGUGACGGGUUCGUGUGUUGUUUGUGGAUUUGUGAGACUUUGGUUAAGUUUAUUUUGAGAUUUGGAAGAAAAUGAAUUUUGUUUGAGUUUCUUGAAUGGCCAUGCGUUUUCAUUAUUUCCAUGAAACUGGAUGUUCUAUCAAGUGUUGAAAAAUGGAAUUGUUCUUUGCUUGGGUGGUGAAUAUGUGUUUAUUUUAUAUGAUACUUAUUGUUUCCCAAUGAAAAUAACAAAAAAAGUUGUUGAAGAACAUGGUGUGGGUAUUGAUAUGAAUUGGUUUUAAUAUUAAGAUGUAGAAAAAAAUAGUUUCAAUCUCAAGAGCUGACAUGAAUGGUAUUAAAACUUUUAUUGUUUGGUCUUUUUUAUAAUUGGUGUUUUUUCGUGUAGCUUGGAUUGGUGUAUCAGGUGAAUGUGCGAUGUUGUAGCAUUUCUUAUGCUAUGCAACAGUCUUAUAUUUAAUUCAGUUAGGUUGGCUUUCCAAAUAAAUAAAAUAAUGUCAAGCUUACCAUUGGAAGUAGGACAAUAUCACAGACUGUACAUGUUAGUGAAGGGAAACUUUCCUCAGUUCAUUAUGGAUGGUUAUUAUUUUAAGAUAGCUAGAUACCUAAAAACAUUGAAAAUAUCUUAAGUUUUUUUCUUUCUUACUUUAUUUUAUUUUAAUGACAAUUUCUUUUUUAAUUAGUUUAAGUUAGAUUUUGAUCCUAUUUUUUUUAUUAGCUUAUGUUAGAUUUAAUUCAGUUUAUUCCAUAUUUUGAUAAUGGAAUUUUAAGUUCA